CCUACGUGUGGCAGCAGUGGGGAAUAUUGCACAAUGGGCGAAAGCCUGAUCCAGCAACGCCGCGUGAGCGAUGACGGCCUUCGGGUCGUAAAGCUCUGUCCUCAAGGAGGAUAAUGACGGUCCUUGAGGAGGAAGCCCCGGCUAACUACGUGCCAGCAGCCGCGGUAAUACGUAGGGGGCUAGCGUUAUCCGGCAUUACUGGGCGUAAUGGGUGCGUCGUUGGUUUGUUAGGUCGGAGGUGAAAGGCUAAGGCCAAACCGUGGUAAGCCUUUGAAACUGGAAAACUUGAGUGCAGGAGAGGAGAGUGGAAUUCCUAGUGUAGCGGUGAAAUGCGUAGAUAUUAGGAGGAACACCAGUUGCGAAGGCGGCUCGCUGGACUGUAACUGACACUGAGGCACGAAAGCGUGGGGAGCAAACAGGAUUAGAUACCCGGGUAGUC
Molecule: ribosomal RNA, 439 nt
Filed under: uncultured bacterium
Lineage: Bacteria
Description: partial 16S ribosomal RNA
Rfam family: Bacterial small subunit ribosomal RNA
Source: RNAcentral